This 1103-nucleotide ribosomal RNA is filed under the name Salmonella enterica. RNAcentral describes it as "partial 23S ribosomal RNA". It matches the Rfam family "Bacterial large subunit ribosomal RNA", at positions 657 to 1757 of the family's 2925-position model. The record is from RNAcentral. RNAcentral also lists the same sequence under 1 other name. Lineage: Bacteria; Pseudomonadati; Pseudomonadota; Gammaproteobacteria; Enterobacterales; Enterobacteriaceae.
AUAGGGGAGCCGCAGGGAAACCGAGUCUUAAUUGGGCGUUAAGUUGCAGGGUAUAGACCCGAAACCCGGUGAUCUAGCCAUGGGCAGGUUGAAGGUUGGGUAACACUAACUGGAGGACCGAACCGACUAAUGUUGAAAAAUUAGCGGAUGACCUGUGGCUGGGGGUGAAAGGCCAAUCAAACCGGGAGAUAGCUGGUUCUCCCCGAAAGCUAUUUAGGUAGCGCCUCGUGAAUUCAUCUCCGGGGGUAGAGCACUGUUUCGGCUAGGGGGCCAUCCCGGCUUACCAACCCGAUGCAAACUGCGAAUACCGGAGAAUGUUAUCACGGGAGACACACGGCGGGUGCUAACGUCCGUCGUGAAGAGGGAAACAACCCAGACCGCCAGCUAAGGUCCCAAAGUCAUGGUUAAGUGGGAAACGAUGUGGGAAGGCCCAGACAGCCAGGAUGUUGGCUUAGAAGCAGCCAUCAUUUAAAGAAAGCGUAAUAGCUCACUGGUCGAGUCGGCCUGCGCGGAAGAUGUAACGGGGCUAAACCAUGCACCGAAGCUGCGGCAGCGACGCUGAUGCGUUGUUGGGUAGGGGAGCGUUCUGUAAGCCUGUGAAGGUGUGUCGUGAGGCAUGCUGGAGGUAUCAGAAGUGCGAAUGCUGACAUAAGUAACGAUAAAGCGGGUGAAAAGCCCGCUCGCCGGAAGACCAAGGGUUCCUGUCCAACGUUAAUCGGGGCAGGGUGAGUCGACCCCUAAGGCGAGGCCGAAAGGCGUAGUCGAUGGGAAACGGGUUAAUAUUCCCGUACUUGGUGUUACUGCGAAGGGGGGACGGAGAAGGCUAUGUUGGCCGGGCGACGGUUGUCCCGGUUUAAGCGUGUAGGUGUGUGUUCCAGGUAAAUCCGGUUCACUUUAACACUGAGGCGUGAUGACGAGGCACUACGGUGCUGAAGCAACAAAUGCCCUGCUUCCAGGAAAAGCCUCUAAGCAUCAGGUAACAUCAAAUCGUACCCCAAACCGACACAGGUGGUCAGGUAGAGAAUACCAAGGCGCUUGAGAGAACUCGGGUGAAGGAACUAGGCAAAAUGGUGCCGUAACUUCGGGAGAAGGCACGCUGACAC